Homo sapiens (human) is the source of this 1730-nucleotide long non-coding RNA. NCBI's taxonomy places the organism in Eukaryota, Metazoa, Chordata, Mammalia, Primates, Hominidae. The record is from Ensembl.
GGAAGCACGUGGAGAAGGCGGAGCCGCCCAGGUCCCCCCGGGCGUCGAUGAAUGUGGGGUACCAUUCCUUGAUGAUGUGGUCAUGUUUGUAGUCGGCCUUAUUGUCCUUUAGAUGUUCCACGGUGUUCCGCUCGCUCUUCUCAUAGGCCUCCCGGGGCUUCCGGACAGACACCUUGCAUUCUCGGACCUUGUUGACGAUGAAUUCUUGGAUGAGAAACCUGAUAUCUUCCAUGAGGCAGUCAUCAUAAAGAAGUCUGAAUAUCUUGGUUGAGAGCUAGACUUUGGAAACAGAGAGACCCUGUAUAAUAACAGACUAAGAAGUAAGGAAGACAAGCCCAGCCAGUCCCACAACUAUUUCAUUAAUACCAGGUAAAGCAACAGACCUGCCAGUGAAGCAUCUUGGAUCCUUUAGCUUUAGGAAAUCUACUCCAGUCCUGUCCUGUGGAAACUAAUGGGAGUGCCAGGAGGCCUAACCAUCUGAGGUGAAUUGAAAAGAAAAAGCAGCGUGCUGAUUGCAGUGACUGGUGCAUGGAUCUCGAUGGCUACUCUGUACUGUAGGCAGUGAUGACACCCUGUUGAGGAGAUUGGUAGGAGCCAUAGCAACACAGGAGGCACAAUUUUAGGGAUGGUUUACAUUCCUAGCUGGAGUUUCCACAAAGCCCAGGUGCUUGCAUAGAGCCUUACCCUUGCCUAUAAACAACUACAUGGUUUAGUGUCCCCGUAAAAUUUCCCUAGAAUGGGAAAUAAUGUCAGGGCAGCAAUACAGUUUGGGGCAGUAUUUAAGAUCUAGUGCUCAGCUUAACAUAAGUCAUCCUGAGACUGAGAAAAAAAUGACAGGCAAUAAUUUAGUUUCAGUACAGUAUUUUAGUUCCGAUAUUCACUAUAAGUCCUUCCCAGGAAUUGAAACAACAUUCAAGUGUUUAAAUUUAAUACUAAGACAUAACCCCUAACAUCACCAAAGAACAUCUGCAAAAACUGGAAGAGGUGGGUGUCUCCUCAAAUGUGCAGGCAUCAACAUAAGCACAUCAGAAUGGUGAAAACUCAGGUAGAUAUGAAAUUACCAAAAGGCAUCAAGGAGGCUCCAUCGAUGGAUCCAGAAUAAAUAAAGAUCUGUGAGAUGUCUGACAGAGCAUUCAGAAAAAUCUCUUCCUCUCUUUAUAUAAAUAAUGGCUGGGAAUUCAGCCAUUCCAAAUCUGGAGAACCCCUAAAGAAGUUUAGAAAAUCACAAAGAAAUAUGGAAAGUAAAUAAAAAUUAAAAAACAAUCAAUUAACAAAAUGAGAAACUUGAAAAAAAUAGAAACAAUAUUAAAAGUCCAAGGAAUAAAAAUUAAAAUAACUGAACCAAAAAACUCAUUAGAGAGCUGUCACAACAGACUUGAUCAAAAAGAGAAAAGAAUUAGUGAACUUAAAGAUGGAAUAUAUAAAAUUACCCAAUCAGAGAAGCAAAAAGAAAUAAAUAUUUAAAAAGAGUGAAGAAGGUCUAUAAGAAUUAUGGGAAACCAUCAAGUAAACUAAUCUCCGCAUAAUUGGAAUUUUUGGGGAAGAUGAGAGAGAAAUAGGCUUAUAAACACAUUUAAGAAAAUAAUUGCUGAAAAGUUUUUAAAUCAGGAGAAUUAUGACAGUAUCCAGGUUCAGGAAUCUCAGAAGUCACUAAUCAAAUUCAACAAAAAGUAGGAUUUCCCAAAGCACGUUAUAAUCAAUUUAGCAAAACUCAAAUACAUAGAAAAAAA